Molecule: long non-coding RNA, 1954 nt
Organism: Culex pipiens pallens (northern house mosquito)
Lineage: Eukaryota; Metazoa; Arthropoda; Insecta; Diptera; Culicidae
Exons: 3
Source: RefSeq, a predicted model, not a curated record
ACAACACACAAAAAAAUAUUAUGGUAAUGACAAAAGUAACUUACUUUCGAAUUAAUAAGUGGUUAAAAUUUGCUACAUUAAAAGUUUUUUUCUUGUUUUGAAAAUGAAAACUUUUACUGCUACAGUUUUUGAAAAUCUCAUUGCUAACUUAUUUAAAAGUUUUAACUUUUAAUGAACUGUAUAAUUUCUUUCAUUUUGUCGAUCUCGUGAAACCGUGUACGUCUAAGUCCAAAAUGUAAACAAACGUUUAGGUGAUUCCGGUGGUUAGUGAGUGGUGGUCCACGACGUCAAUCAAAACAGAACGCGUCCGCAGCCAGGACUUGGACGCGGAUACCUUCGAAGGAGGAUGGUGCGGAACAAGGUUAGGGGAUUAGGGGAAAGUUGGUUUUCAAAAGGAUGAGGCCUGCUUCCUGCCGGAUCUGCAGCUGUUUCACGACCGAAAUGGGACGCCGUUUAUGCGGAUGUGAAUUUGCACCGGUUGUAUUCGAUAAAGUUAAUUUUAACGGUGAGGAGAAGGAUUCGACGGAAGAGGGAAACGAUUAGAAGUGAUCGGAGGUGGUCAGCGCGGAUGUUGCUCUCUGUGCCGGCGGUUUACGACCAUCAGCAGCAUUAUGUGCCGGAAGUGAUGACGGGACAGUGUGGGAUGUCCUGAGGGUCCACAGUCCAUUUCUCGGUGCGGGACAUAUUUGACGAGUAUUACAUAAACAUCCGGAAGAACAGUUUGCACCAGUUCUGGAAGAACCGUCUGUACGAAAGCCGCAGGUCCUGAAGCUGUCGUACUCGGAUUACUUCCAGAGGUUGGAGCGACAUCCGACGAACCUGAUCAAGAACAUCUACCUGGAAUACCGAAGAAGUCACCGCAACUCCCGCCCGCAAACUCUCAACUCGCGACGGCGCAGCUUCGGCCGGAUGAACUGGAAACAUCUGUGCCAUUCGGGAACUAUCGGUUCAGGCGCUUCACUUCCCAGUCGGAAAACGUCGAAUUACCUUCCCGAAUUAACACCCAAUGGCUAACUCCUCCAAGCCUGUCCUGAUCAGUGCUGAAAAUGUCAGGGGUCAUGACGCGAAAAUCGGCAACGCUGACACGAAUUUUUGAGAUCCAUUCACUGAACCGCAAAACCGUGACAUAAACAAACCCGGCGCAGUCGUGAGUGCCCUAGCUCAUUGAGCAGCUGCAAUGCGAGGCAGUAGUCGACCAACGCUCAUUCGACGUUGCACGCACACACAUAAAGAAACAAGUUUUUACACAAAAAGUUCGUAUUUAUGCGUGGAAAUGUAAUUUUGAAUAUAAGUUACGGUUGUUUUAAGUGUUUUACACUGUUUACAACCAUUCAAUUGUUUGAAAAUAGUCAACUAGUGUUUAAAGAGGAUUUUACGAGUCAGUCAUAUGACACGAAUUGAGUGAGUGUAGCUCAUUUUUUCAUGUCUCUCAUUCUCCAGCAGCCGACCGGCACGAGUCGGGCGGCAGUGGUUGAACAGACACAGUAGGCUUGCAGUCACAUGCUUGCAGUGAACUGACAUUUUGGUUUGCUUCAUAUGUACGCUGGGUUGGAAACUUUUUGCAGGCCUGGUCCUGAUGAUGGCCGGCAACGAGACCACCCUGUUCUCUACAUCGCUUUCGCGCUCCAAAAUGUAGGCCGCGAUGUUAAGGAGCAUAAGCAGCAGUUUUAAUAUUAAAAUAAAAAUAGAAAUAAAAUCCAUCACAUUUUUCAAAAAAUCAUCACUGUAAUUUUAAAUGUUAUUUAUUGUUGCCAUAAAAAGUUUCUUCUUAUAAUAAAAGUAAAAAACUUUUACCGAUACAACGAUUUUGUUCCAGAAGUGCAUGGUAGUAUCAAAAACUUUCCAACUUUUAAAUUAAAAAGUUUGAACUUUCUACGAAUAUUCACCAACGCGAACUUUUAAUCCAACGAACGAUCUUUUUAAAUUUAGAGUAUUUUUUCUUUGUGUGAAGGAU